RNAcentral lists this ribosomal RNA (507 nucleotides) under uncultured bacterium. RNAcentral describes it as "bacterial SSU rRNA". It matches the Rfam family "Bacterial small subunit ribosomal RNA", at positions 34 to 518 of the family's 1533-position model. The record is from RNAcentral.
CGCUGGCGGCGUGCCUAACACAUGCAAGUCGAACGGGGAUUUGUUUCGGCAGAAUCCUAGUGGCGAACGGGUGAGUAACGCGUAGGCAACCUGCCCUCCGGCCGGGGACAACACUCCGAAAGGGGUGCUAAUACCGGAUACGAAGUCUGUGCCGCAUGGUACGGAUUUGAAAGAUGGCCUCUAUUUAUAAGCUAUCGCCGGGGGAUGGGCCUGCGUCCGAUUAGCUGGUUGGUGGGGUAACGGCCUACCAAGGCGACGAUCGGUAGCCGGUCUGAGAGGAUGAACGGCCACAUUGGGACUGAGACACGGCCCAGACUCCUACGGGAGGCAGCAGUGGGGAAUCUUCCGCAAUGGGCGCAAGCCUGACGGAGCAACGCCGCCGUGAGUGAGGAAGUUCUUCGGAACGUAAAGCUCUGUUGUUCCUGACGAACCUCCCCUUUAUCAACAACGGAGGGGACUGACGGUAGGGAACGAGGAAGCCACGGCUAACUACGUGCCAGCCGCCGC